This 301-nucleotide ribosomal RNA is filed under the name uncultured bacterium. RNAcentral's name for it is "partial 16S ribosomal RNA". It matches the Rfam family "Bacterial small subunit ribosomal RNA", at positions 510 to 808 of the family's 1533-position model. The record is from RNAcentral.
CACAGCCGCGGUAAUACAGAGGGUGCGAGCGUUAAUCGGAUUUACUGGGCGUAAAGCGUGCGUAGGCGGCUUUUUAAGUCGGAUGUGAAAUCCCUGAGCUUAACUUAGGAAUUGCAUUCGAUACUGGGAAGCUAGAGUAUGGGAGAGGAUGGUAGAAUUCCAGGUGUAGCGGUGAAAUGCGUAGAGAUCUGGAGGAAUACCGAUGGCGAAGGCAGCCAUCUGGCCUAAUACUGACGCUGAGGUACGAAAGCAUGGGGAGCAAACAGGAUUAGAUACCCCCGUAGUCCCUGUCUCUUAUACA